CUUUUUGAGAGUUUGAUCCUGGCUCAGGAUAAACGCUGGCGGCGUGCCUUAGGCAUGCAAGUCGAAUGCACUGAAAAAUCGCAAGAUUUUUUAGUGAAUGGCGGACGGGUGAGUAAUAGUAAGGAAUCUGCCCCGAAGUGAAGGACAUCUCGUCGAAAGACGGGGUAAUCCUGCAUAAUCUCGCAAGAGCAAAGAGCGUAACUGCUCGCUACGGGAGGAGCCUUACUCCUAUCAGCUAGUUGGUGGGGUAAAAGCCUACCAAGGCUAUGACGGGUAGCUGGUGUGAGAGCAUGACCAGCCACAAUGGCACUGAGAUACGGGCCAUACACCUACGGGUGGCAGCAACCGGGAAUCGUCGGCAAUGGACGAAAGUCUGACCGCGCGACGCCGCGUGAGGGAUGAAGUAUUUCGGUAUGUAAACCUCUUUUACCAGGGAAAAGUAAGGAUGGUACCUGGGGAAUAAGCGCCUACUAACUACGUGCCAGCAGUCGCGGUAAUACGUAGGGCGCAAGCGUUAUCCGGAUUCACUGGGCGUAAAAGGUCGCGUAGGCGGUCUAUCGCAUCUUGUUUUAAAUUGUUCCGCUUAACGGAAUAUCGGGCAAGAGAUGGAUAGACUAGAGAUUUGGUGGGGUUUUCGGAACUCACGGUGUAGCAGUGAAAUGCGUUGAUAUCGUGAGGAACACCAAGAGCGAAGGCAGAAAACCAACCUGUAUCUGACGCUGAGGCACGAAAGCUAGGGGAGCGAAGCAGAUUAGAGACCUGCGUAGUCCUAGCCGUAAACGCAUGGAUGCUAGAUGCUUGCUUCGCGAAGCGCGGGAUUUGUUUCCCGUAUUUCGCGAAGCAAGUGUCGCAAGCUAACGCGUUAAGCAUCCUGCCUGGGGAGUACAAUCGCAAGAUUAAAACUCAAAGGAAUUGGCGGGGACCCGCACAACCGGUGGAGCAUGUGGUUCAAUUCGAGACGAAGCGAAAGACCUCACCAAGGUUUGACAUGUUAUCGUUUAUUUUUCUGGAAACAGAGAGAAAUCCGCAAGGAUGAUAACACAGCUGCUGCAUGGCCGUCGUCAGUUCGUACCGUGAGGUGUUCCCUUAAGUGGGAUAACGAACGCAACCCCUAUCCUUUGUUAAAUUUUCAAAGGAGACUGUCCCCGAUAUUAUCGGGGGAGGAAGGUGGGGACGACGUCAGGUCAGCACGGCGCCUAUGCCUUGGGCCACACACAUCCUACAAUGGCGAAUAACAACGGGAUGCAAGCACGCAAGUGUAAGCAAAUCCCUGAAAUUUCGCCUCAGUUGGGAUUGAAGUCUGCAACUCGACUUCAUGAACGCGGAAUCGGUAGUAAUCGCGGAUCAGCAUGGCCGCGGUGAAUACGUUCUCGGGUCUUGCACACACCGCCCGUCAAGCCAACAAAGUCGGGGGCGGCUGAUAUUCUCGAUUUAUCGAGGACGAAGCCGAACUCGGUGAUGGGGACUAAGUCGUAACAAGGUAUCCCUACUGGAAGGUGGGGAUGGAUCACCUCCUUU
Candidatus Gottesmanbacteria bacterium is the source of this 1518-nucleotide non-coding RNA. Lineage: Bacteria; Candidatus Gottesmaniibacteriota. The record is from Rfam.